Molecule: ribosomal RNA, 659 nt
Filed under: Acarospora glaucocarpa
Lineage: Eukaryota; Fungi; Ascomycota; Lecanoromycetes; Acarosporales; Acarosporaceae
Description: partial large subunit ribosomal RNA
Rfam family: Eukaryotic large subunit ribosomal RNA
Source: RNAcentral
UGCAAUCAGACUUGCCCGCGGGUGAUCAACCCGGUAUUCUUACCGGUGCACUCGCCCGUGGUCAGGCCAGCAUCGGUUUGGGCGGUUGGACAAAAGUCCACCGGAACGUAGCUCCUUCUCGGGAGAGUGUUAUAGCCGGUGGUGCAAAUGCACCCCGCCUGGACCGAGGACCGCGCUUCGGUUAGGAUGCUGGCGUAAAUGUUUGUAACCGACCCGUCUUAAACCACGGACCAAGGAUUCUACCAUCUAUGCGAGUGUUUGGGUGUCAAACCCAUGCGCGUAAUGAAAGUGAACGGAGGUGGGAACCCUGGAGGGUGCACCAUCGACCGAUCCAGAUGUCUUCGGAUGGAUUGGAGUAAGAGCAUAGCUGUUGGGACCGAAAAGAUGGUGAACUAUGCCUAAAUAGGGUGAAGCCAGAGGAAACUCUGGUGGAGGCUCGCAGCGGUUCUGACGUGCAAAUCGAUCGUCAAAUUUGGGUAUAGGGGCGAAAGACUAAUCGACCCAUCUGUCACUAGAUGAGAUACGGGCCGCGACGCCCGAGUAGUCCCCGCCGUGGGGGCAACAUCGUCGGUCUCUCGGGGACGCCUUCGGGCUACCUGCAGUGAGCUCUGGGCUCAUUCACAGACUAAGUGACGGUGGCCGUGCCUGCAGCGCGGUUA